UACAGAGGGUGCAAGCGUUAAUCGGAAUUACUGGGCGUAAAGCGUGCGCAGACGGUUGCGUAAGUCAGAUGUGAAAGCCCCGGGCUCAACCUUGGAAUUGCAUUUGAGACUGCGUAGCUAGGGUGCGGAAGAGGGAAGCGGAAUUUCCGGUGUAGCGGUGAAAUGCGUAGAUAUCGGAAGGAACACCAGUGGCGAAGGCGGCAUCCUGGACCGGCAUUGACGCUGAGGAGCGAAAGCUAGGGGAGCAAACGGG
This 253-nucleotide ribosomal RNA is filed under the name uncultured bacterium. Its description in RNAcentral is "partial 16S ribosomal RNA". It matches the Rfam family "Bacterial small subunit ribosomal RNA", at positions 524 to 776 of the family's 1533-position model. The record is from RNAcentral.